ACUACGGGGGGCAGCAGGGAGGAAUAUUGGUCAAUGGACGAGAGUCUGAACCAGCCAAGUAGCGUGAAGGAUGACUGCCCUAUGGGUUGUAAACUUCUUUUAUAAAGGAAUAAAACGAGGCACGUGUGCCUUUUUGCAUGUACCUUAUGAAUAAGGAUCGGCUAACUCCGUGCCAGCAGCCGCGGUAAUACGGAGGAUCCGAGCGUUAUCCGGAGUUAUUGGGCGUAAAGAGUGCGUAGGUGGCACGUUAAGUCUGGUGUUAAAGGCUGAGGCUCAACUUCCGUAGGGCACUGGAUACUGGCGGGCUUGAGUGCGGUAGCGGUAAGGGGAAUUCCUGGUGUAGCGGUGAAAUGCGUAGAUAUCAGGAGGAACAUCGGUGGCGUAGGCGCUUUACUGGGGCGUAAUUGACACUGAGGCACGAAAGCCGGGGUAGCAAAUAGGAUUAGAUACCCCAGUAGUC
This 460-nucleotide ribosomal RNA is filed under the name uncultured bacterium. Its description in RNAcentral is "partial 16S ribosomal RNA". It matches the Rfam family "Bacterial small subunit ribosomal RNA", at positions 338 to 795 of the family's 1533-position model. The record is from RNAcentral.